RNAcentral lists this long non-coding RNA (613 nucleotides) under Marmota monax (woodchuck). The record is from RNAcentral. Lineage: Eukaryota; Metazoa; Chordata; Mammalia; Rodentia; Sciuridae.
CUUUAGAUCUUCAACAGACUGGAUAAAUCCCACUUCAUCACAGUGGGGAGGGAAAUCUACUUAGUCUACUAAUUCUAAUGCUCAUUCAGAAACAUCCUGACAGAGACACCCAGAAUAAUGUUUAAACAAAUACCUGGGCAUCCUAAGGCACAGUCAAGUUAACACAUAAAAUUAACCAUAGCGGUUCCUGUGAGGUCUUUCCUGAUGUUUUCACACAGAAGGGAUGCCUCACUUCUGUGAACUCCCACAACAUGUGAGCCUGUUUCCCUUUUAGCUUUGUGCAUAGUACAUAUAUUAGCAAGUGUGUAGCACAUGAGCUAUCUUAUCUACAUGAUAGUAGCAUUUAAUAUGUGAUUAUUACUAACUUUGGGUUUGAAUAUUGUUGUGAAAUCUCUCUCUGCUCAGAAUACUCUGAAAAUUUAGCUAUAAUGAAAAGCUACUAAAAAAAGAUAUUGGCCUCUCUGUGUGGACAUUAGCUUCAACACAGGGAUGCACAAGUGUAAAGUUUUAGACCUGUAGUUCAGAGACUGUACUUUCACGAUGGCAAGAAGAAAGACUAUGUGGUCUCUGGUUUAUGAACAAUAUCUUUCUAUGUUUAAACGUUGAAACUCAG